CAACAAAUACGAAACAACAUUAUAGACCCCUAAGACGACAUAGGUGAAAUUACUAAUAAAGACUCUAAUACCAAAAACAACUUGAAUUUGACUUAAAGCAGACACCACCCUACAAUGACAGACAUAUAAAAGACUCAAACUGAAUAAAGGUAAGAAGUGUUCUUUCAGACUGGUGCUCUGCGUGAUGACCCUGGCUGAUAUGGACCUGCCUCUGAAGUUCUCUUUCUCCCAUUUAAGCUUUGUAGCAUAUCCUGUAAAGACACCCUGAUACCGGGGAAGAAGCUUCGGGCCCGUAUUCCUGCUUCAUGAGGAGUGCACUUGGAAAGAUUAUUCUGACACCUUUCUACCGUCUUGAACAAAUCUACUAAAUGAACUCUCAGUGUUUCCACUU
RNAcentral lists this long non-coding RNA (391 nucleotides) under Capsicum annuum. Its description in RNAcentral is "long non-coding RNA (CANN_LNC018732)". The record is from RNAcentral. Lineage: Eukaryota; Viridiplantae; Streptophyta; Magnoliopsida; Solanales; Solanaceae.